Molecule: non-coding RNA, 552 nt
Organism: Oncorhynchus mykiss (rainbow trout)
Lineage: Eukaryota; Metazoa; Chordata; Actinopteri; Salmoniformes; Salmonidae
Source: RefSeq, a predicted model, not a curated record
UUAUGAAUUAGAGAUAUUCUUGCAAUUCUGUUUUCUGAGAGUGGAUUUCCUUUUCUUCCAGAUUGAGGAGUUGUCCCAACAAGCUCAGCUGGCAGCAGCAGAGAAGUUCAAGGUCCAGGGAGAAGACAGAACGUCCAGCAUCCAGGAGAACACACAGAAGCCCACAGUAUACAAGAGGAGAGCAGAGAGGAAGAGGUUGAUGAGACAGCCGUGAAGGACAUUGAACUGGUGAUGUCACAAGCCAAUGUGUCUCGACUGAAGGCUAUAUGAGCGCUCAAAAGCAACAAUGACAUCGUCAAUGCCAUCAUGGAGCUGACCAUGUAAACACCUAACAACCAUGAGAACCAGGUCCAGUCCAACCUUUUAAUAGACGUUGUCUGAAUUUAUAUCAAGGCUAGAAAUAAAGUUGUUGAAUAAGGAACCAGCAGCAUACCAACCUGCAUACCACUGUUGGCUUGCUUCUGAAGCUAAACAGGGUUGGUCCUGGUCAGUUCCUGGAUGGGAGACCAGAUGCUGCUGGAAGUGGUGUUGGAGGGCCAGUAGGAGGCACUC